CGGGGACAUAACUGCAGGGGCUAUAUGAGCCGUGUGGCUAUGGGCGGUGACAGUAGGGGGGUGGGCCACAGGGGUGGGGGUACUCGGCGACUGGCUCACCUCCUCCAGCUGGCUGUGCACAUGCUGCACAAUGAGGUCGAUGGCCACCGUGUU
Vicugna pacos (alpaca) is the source of this 153-nucleotide non-coding RNA. The record is from RefSeq and is a predicted model, not a curated record. NCBI's taxonomy places the organism in Eukaryota, Metazoa, Chordata, Mammalia, Artiodactyla, Camelidae.